This 348-nucleotide unclassified non-coding RNA is filed under the name soil metagenome. RNAcentral's name for it is "partial contains 5.8S ribosomal RNA, internal transcribed spacer 2, and large subunit ribosomal RNA". The stretch from base 1 to 120 matches the Rfam family "5.8S ribosomal RNA", at positions 35 to 154 of the family's 154-position model. The record is from RNAcentral.
GAUGAAGAACGUAGCGAAAUGCGAUAAGUAAUGUGAAUUGCAGAACUCAGUGAAUCAUCGAGUCUUUGAACGCACAUUGCGCCCCCUGGUAUUCCGGGGGGCAUGCCUGUCCGAGCGUCAUUGCCGCCCUCAAGCACGGCUUGUGUGUUGGGCCCCCGCCCCCCGGCUUCGGGGGGCGGGCCCGAAAGGCAGCGGCGGCACCGCGUCCGGUCCUCGAGCGUAUGGGGCUUCGUCACCCGCUCUGUAGGCCCGGCCGGCGCCCGCCGGCGACCCCAAACAAUCUUUCCAGGUUGACCUCGGAUCAGGUAGGGAUACCCGCUGAACUUAAGCAUAUCAAUAAGCGGAGGA